This 292-nucleotide ribosomal RNA is filed under the name uncultured Ramlibacter sp. RNAcentral's name for it is "partial 16S ribosomal RNA". It matches the Rfam family "Bacterial small subunit ribosomal RNA", at positions 505 to 796 of the family's 1533-position model. Lineage: Bacteria; Pseudomonadati; Pseudomonadota; Betaproteobacteria; Burkholderiales; Comamonadaceae. The record is from RNAcentral.
GUGUCAGCAGCCGCGGUAAUACGUAGGGUGCAAGCGUUAAUCGGAAUUACUGGGCGUAAAGCGUGCGCAGGCGGUUUUGUAAGACAGUGGUGAAAUCCCCGGGCUCAACCUGGGAACUGCCAUUGUGACUGCAAAGCUAGAGUGCGGCAGAGGGGGAUGGAAUUCCGCGUGUAGCAGUGAAAUGCGUAGAUAUGCGGAGGAACACCGAUGGCGAAGGCAAUCCCCUGGGCCUGCACUGACGCUCAUGCACGAAAGCGUGGGGAGCAAACAGGAUUAGAAACCCCGGUAGUCC